CCUACGGUGAGCAGCAGUCGAGAAUCAUUCACAAUGGGGGAAACCCUGAUGGUGCGACGCCGCGUGGGGGAAUGAAGGUCUUCGGAUUGUAAACCCCUGUCAUGUGGGAGCAAAUUAAAAAGAUAGUACCACAAGAGGAAGAGACGGCUAACUCUGUGCCAGCAGCCGCGGUAAUACAGAGGUCUCAAGCGUUGUUCGGAAUCACUGGGCGUAAAGCGUGCGUCGGCUGUUUCGUAAGUCGUGUGUGAAAGGCGCGGGCUCAACCCGCGGACGGCACAUGAUACUGCGUGACUAGAGUAAUGGAGGGGGAACCGGAAUUCUCGGUGUAGCAGUGAAAUGCGUAGAUAUGGAGAGGAACACUCGUGGCGAAGGCGGGUUCCUGGACAUUAACUGACGCUGAGGCACGAAGGCCAGGGGAGCGAAAGGGAUUAGAUACCCGGGUAGUC
RNAcentral lists this ribosomal RNA (446 nucleotides) under uncultured bacterium. RNAcentral's name for it is "partial 16S ribosomal RNA". It matches the Rfam family "Bacterial small subunit ribosomal RNA", at positions 338 to 795 of the family's 1533-position model. The record is from RNAcentral.